Molecule: ribosomal RNA, 492 nt
Filed under: uncultured bacterium
Lineage: Bacteria
Description: partial 16S ribosomal RNA
Rfam family: Bacterial small subunit ribosomal RNA
Source: RNAcentral
AUUGAACGCUGGCGGCAUGCUUUACACAUGCAAGUCGAACGGUAACAGGCCUUCGGGUGCUGACGAGUGGCGAACGGGUGAGUAAUGCAUCGGAACGUACCCAGAGGUGGGGGAUAACGCAGCGAAAGCUGUGCUAAUACCGCAUGUGAUCUGAGGAUGAAAGCGGGGGACCGAGCAGCAAUGUUUGGCCUCGCGCCUUUGGAGCGGCCGAUGUCGGAUUAGCUAGUUGGUGGGGUAAAGGCCUACCAAGGCGACGAUCCGUAGCUGGUCUGAGAGGACGACCAGCCACACUGGGACUGAGACGCGGCCCAGACUCCUACGGGAGGCAGCAGUGGGGAAUUUUGGACAAUGGGCGCAAGCCUGAUCCAGCAAUGCCGCGUGCGGGAAGAAGGCCUUCGGGUUGUAAACCGCUUUUGGCAGGAACGAAACGGUGUCCGCUAAUACCGGGCGCUAAUGACGGUACCUGCAGAAUAAGCACCGGCUAACUACGUG